Molecule: ribosomal RNA, 351 nt
Filed under: Bacillus sp. (in: firmicutes)
Lineage: Bacteria; Bacillati; Bacillota; Bacilli; Caryophanales; Bacillaceae
Description: bacterial SSU rRNA
Rfam family: Bacterial small subunit ribosomal RNA
Source: RNAcentral
CUGUUGUUAGGGAAGAACAAGUACCGUUCGAAUAGGGCGGUACCUUGACGGUACCUAACCAGAAAGCCACGGCUAACUACGUGCCAGCAGCCGCGGUAAUACGUAGGUGGCAAGCGUUGUCCGGAAUUAUUGGGCGUAAAGCGCGCGCAGGCGGUUUCUUAAGUCUGAUGUGAAAGCCCCCGGCUCAACCGGGGAGGGUCAUUGGAAACUGGGGAACUUGAGUGCAGAAGAGGAGAGUGGAAUUCCACGUGUAGCGGUGAAAUGCGUAGAGAUGUGGAGGAACACCAGUGGCGAAGGCGACUCUCUGGUCUGUAACUGACGCUGAGGCGCGAAAGCGUGGGGAGCGAACAG